RNAcentral lists this ribosomal RNA (253 nucleotides) under uncultured bacterium. RNAcentral describes it as "partial 16S ribosomal RNA". It matches the Rfam family "Bacterial small subunit ribosomal RNA", at positions 524 to 776 of the family's 1533-position model. The record is from RNAcentral.
GACGUAGGGCGCGAGCGUUGUCCGGAUUUAUUGGGCGUAAAGAGCUCGUAGGCGGCUUGUCGCGUCGUCUGUGAAAUCCCCGCGGCUCAACUGCGGGCUGCAGUCGAUACGGGCAGGCUGGAGUUCGGUAGGGGAGACUGGAAUUCCUGGUGUAGCGGUGAAAUGCGCAGAUAUCAGGAGGAACACCGGUGGCGAAGGCGGGUCUCUGGGCCGAUACUGACGCUGAGGAGCGAAAGCGUGGGGAGCGAACAGG